Molecule: RNA transcript, 2482 nt
Organism: Toxorhynchites rutilus septentrionalis
Lineage: Eukaryota; Metazoa; Arthropoda; Insecta; Diptera; Culicidae
Exons: 3
Source: RefSeq, a predicted model, not a curated record
GUUUCUCCAUUGGAAUCGAUUGUAAAUAAACAAAUGGUGUAGAUAACAGAAUUAAGUCCAGCCGCGGCUGGACAUAAACUAUGUGUUGUUUACCUGGAGAACCAGGAAUUGCACCCGGUGUUUUGAUGAGUGUUUGUUGUGAUCAAUGAUGUUCCAUUUCGUGAUAGUGAUGCUGAGAUAGCCCGAUUGAUUUGUCCACUAUGAUGUGUCGCGAAUUUCCUUGCGGUGUAUGGAUUAUCCUCCGAUGUGAAUUGUUGACUAUUGUGAGGUUUGGUGUUAUGAUGGCGAUGAAUAAUUGUUUCCUUCCAGCCGUAACGAUGGCGUUGGCCUUAAAAUUAUAUGCAGUACAAUCAUUCAUCAUAAACAAAUCGGAGAUAAGUAUUCGUUUUUUUUUACAUCAUUACAUCAGUCACCUCGGUCGGGAAACUAUUUUCAUAUUCCCGCCAAGGAUAAACAUCAGUUAUAUUUUAUACAUUACAACACUAUUGACCUUUCCAAAAACCAUCCAAGCUAUGGGAUUGAAGGUAACGGCGAGUUUGUCGCUAAGAUUGGAAUCUUUCUUCAACACAUCAUCGACCGUAAAAAACUUAAGGGACACGAGAGAACAAAAUACGGAUGAAACGUGCUAAUUCUACCGUCACUCUGCUAAUCAGCUGCUAAUCAGCUAAUGCAAAUCAGAGCGAUGCAGCAGGAAGAGGAACGGGAACUUGCUUUGGAAAUGCUCAUCAAAUUGAGGUGGUUGAGGCUGCGAUUAAAAUUUGCCUCUUGUACGCAGUUUAUAGAAUGAUUCCAACGAGAAUUAUUGAUGUUGUUUAUAGAAUAAGUUAUUAGUAUAAUGCUAGGUAGUGCGGACUGAAUCAAAACGGCUGUCAAAAAAGAUCCAAUUGAAAUGUCAAAAGAGAUCCAACGAUCAGGAGUGUUAUUUUUCUUAUGAUAAUCAACACUAUAAAAGAGGUAUUGUUGUCAGGGGCAAAAAAAAAAUAAAAUAACAAAAUGAACGAACUACAUUUUUCCGUUAAUUGUAUGAUUAACCAUUGUAUCUCUGAAAGAGCAUCUCAGCCUUUCACUGAGCUACGCCUUUUUAAUGUCCCCUCUCUUUGACAUAACGUUUUUCCGAACGAAAUAAAAACAAACGAAGUCAGAGUCACGUAAAUGUUUACUCCUGCGAUUUGAAAAUAUUCGAUAAAAAGUGGAAGGAAGAGAUGCCAGAUUAUUUUUAAAAAAAGUCUGUAAAAACAUGUGAAUGUCUGUUAAAAAUGUGGAAAAGUCUGUAAAAGUGUGCAGAUCUAUAGAAAUGUCUUUUAACGUUAAUUUUCACAUAUUCAUGAAUACUUUGUACAUCGUGAUGCACGUAAGAUUGUAUUUUGUUCUCAGAUCUUCGUCAAAAGUGGUAAUAUUAUUCUUUAUCGCAAAACAUUAGACUCGUAUUUUUUUAUUUUUUCAUUGGGGUGCCCAUUUCCAUUUUAGGGUGAUCCAAAAAAUCAUUAUUUUUUUCCACUUUUUCCUAAAAUGACUUUUUUCUAAAAUUUAUAACUUUCGAACCACUUAACCGAUUUAGAUGAUCGACAUAUCAAAUUGAAGCCAAUGAGCUUUAAUUGAGAAAUAUUGAACUUGCAGAUAAUAUGGAUCCUAUUUUCGUAAUUAUUGAUUGUAGUCGUUUUUUAAUGUUUUCAUGGCUUUGGACUAGGGGCGCUAUAUUUUUUUAUAUUUUUUCUUGGAAGCUGAGAAUUUGUUACAUAAAAUAUCUCGAUAUCAGAGAUGCAAUUUUUUUCGUUUUUGAAAUAUGAUUUUUCAAAACUAAUCGAUGUUUCGAAAAACAAAUUUUCCCCAUUUUUCCCACUACAAAAACAUAACUCUUGAACUAUUGGACCGACUCAUAUCAUCGACAUAUCAAAUUGAAGCUUACGAGCUAUUUUUCUUUGGAAAAAUGUUACUUUUGCGAAAAAAAUUAAUUCUUGUUUUUGUAAUUAUUGAUUGAUUUAUUUUUUCAUAGUUUUCUCGUUUAAAGAUAGGAGCGCUAUAUUUUUUUUAUAUUUUUUAUGGAAAGCUGAGGAUUAUUUACCUAACAUAUCUCGAUAUCAGAGAUGUUAUAAUUAUCGUUUUUAAGUUAUAAAUUUGUAAAUUUAACAUGUUUUAAGUCUUCGAUCAAUAUUCAUAUGUGACUAAACUAGAACUAUGCUACUAGAAUCCUUCCCGCAAGUGUGAUAUUUUUUCAAAUUUUGCUUAUUGGCUUCAAUUUAAUACAUCGAUCAUCAAAACCGGUUCAGUAGUUCAAAUGUUAUGAUUUUUUGCAGAAAGUAAUUGGACAAAGGGGGAAAAAUGAUUUUUCGAACCACCAUUACUUUGAAACAUCAUAUCUAAAAAACAUAAAAAUAGCAUCUCUGAUAUCGAGAUAUGUUAUGCAAAAAUCCUCAGCUUUCAAGAAAAAAUAUAAAAAUAUAGCGCCCUCUAGUCCAAAGUCAUAAAAAAAAUAAAAAACGAC